This 300-nucleotide ribosomal RNA is filed under the name uncultured Roseococcus sp. RNAcentral's name for it is "bacterial SSU rRNA". It matches the Rfam family "Bacterial small subunit ribosomal RNA", at positions 114 to 424 of the family's 1533-position model. The record is from RNAcentral. Lineage: Bacteria; Pseudomonadati; Pseudomonadota; Alphaproteobacteria; Acetobacterales; Roseomonadaceae.
CGCGUAGGAACGUGUCCUGGACUGGGGGAAUAACGCUGGGAAACGUUGGCGCUAAUACCGCAUAUCUCCUGAGGGAGAAAGACCGCGAGGCGGUUUGGGAGCGGCCUGCGUCCGAUUAGCUUGUUGGUUAGGUAAUGGCUGACCAAGGCGAUGAUCGGUAGCUGGUCUGAGAGGAUGAUCAGCCACACUGGGACUGAGACACGGCCCAGACUCCUACGGGAGGCAGCAGUGGGGAAGUAUUGGACAAUGGGCGCAAGCCUGAUCCAGCAAUUCCGCGUGGGUGAAGAAGGUCUUCGGAUU